AGCGAACGUUAGCGGCGGGCCUAACACAUGCAAGUCGAACGAGAAUGAAGGGGCAACUCUUCUAGUAAAGUGGCGGACGGGUGCGUAACACGUGGGUAAUCAACCUUCUGGCGGGGGACAACAGUCCGAAAGGACUGCUAAUACCGCGUAAGUCGGCGAGGACUCUGGUUCUUGCCGGGAAAGCUGGCCUCUCCAUGGAAGCUAGCACCAGAAGACGAGCCCCGCGGCCCAUCAGCUAGNGGUGAGGUAUGGCUCACCAAGGCUUAGACGGGUAGCUGGUCUGAGAGGAUGAUCAGCCACACUGGGACUGCGACACGGCCCAGACUCCUACGGGAGGCAGCAGUGGGGAAUAUUGGGCAAUGGGCGAAAGCCUGACCCAGCCACGCGCGUGAGUGAUGAAGGCCUGGUCGUAAGCUCUGUGGG
Molecule: ribosomal RNA, 423 nt
Filed under: uncultured bacterium
Lineage: Bacteria
Description: bacterial SSU rRNA
Rfam family: Bacterial small subunit ribosomal RNA
Source: RNAcentral